ACUCCUACGGGAGGCAGCAGUGGGGAAUAUUGCACAAUGGGGGAAACCCUGAUGCAGCCAUGCCGCGUGUGUGAAGAAGGCCUUGGGUUGUAAAGCACUUUCAGUAGGGAGGAAGGUAGUGUAGUUAACACCUGCAUUAUUUGACGUUACCUACAGAAGAAGCACCGGCUAACUCCGUGCCAGCAGCCGCGGUAAUACGGAGGGUGCGAGCGUUAAUCGGAAUUACUGGGCGUAAAGCGCAUGCAGGCGGCUUGUUAAGUCAGAUGUGAAAGCCCGGGGCUUAACCUCGGAAUUGCAUUUGAAACUGGCAGGCUAGAGUCUUGUAGAGGGGUUAGAAUUUCAGGUGUAGCGGUGAAAUGCGUAGAGAUCUGAAGGAAUACCAGUGGCGAAGGCGGCCCCUGGACAAAGACUGACGCUCAGAUGCGAAAGCGUGGGAGCAAACAGGAUUAGAUACCCCUGGUAGACUGUCA
Molecule: ribosomal RNA, 470 nt
Filed under: uncultured bacterium
Lineage: Bacteria
Description: bacterial SSU rRNA
Rfam family: Bacterial small subunit ribosomal RNA
Source: RNAcentral